Molecule: unclassified non-coding RNA, 299 nt
Filed under: plant metagenome
Description: partial contains small subunit ribosomal RNA, internal transcribed spacer 1, and 5.8S ribosomal RNA
Source: RNAcentral
UUUCCGUAGGUGAACCAGCGGAAGGAUCAUUAUCGAAUUUCGAGGGGAAGGAAGAUGAGGAGUGGAGACUGUCGCUGGCUUUCCCGCCUGGGAAGCAUGUGCACGCCUUGCUUUUCGUUGACCUUUCUCUUACUCUCACACCUGUGCACCCAUUGUAGGUCCUCGAAAGAGGAUCUAUGUUUUUAUCAUCACACGCAUCGUAUGUCCAUAGAAUGUAACAUGAUCGUCGAUCGACCUCGCGGUCGGGUGGCGGUCUAAAUAAAUAAAUACAACUUUCAGCAACGGAUCUCUUGGCUCUC